ACGGCGAGUGAAGCGGGAUGAGCUCAAAUUUGAAAGCUGGCAGUAAUGUCCGCGUUGUAAUCUCGAGAGUUGUUUUCCGCGCUGGACCACGUACAAGUUCCUUGGAAUAGGAUGUCAUAGAGGGUGAAAAUCCCGUACUUGAUGUGGACGCCCAGUGCUUUGUGAUACAUCUUCGAAGAGUCGAGUUGUUUGGGAAUGCAGCUCAAAAUGGGUGGUAAAUUCCAUCUAAAGCUAAAUAUUGGGGAGAGACCGAUAGCGAACAAGUACCGUGAGGGAAAGAUGAAAAGCACUUUGGAAAGAGAGUUAAACAGUACGUGAAAUUGUCAAAAGGGAAGCAUUUGAAGUCAGACGUGUAUUGUAGUAUUCAGCCUUGCUUUUGCUUGGUGUAUUUGCUAUUUUACAGGCCAACAUCAGUUUUGAAUGACGGAUAAGGGUAUUAAGAAUGUGGCAUCCUCGGAUGUGUUAUAGCUUUUUACUGGAUACGUCGUUUGGGACUGAGGAACGCAGCUCGCCGUAAGGCAGACCUUUGGGUACUUUCGAGCUUAGGAUGUUGGCG
RNAcentral lists this ribosomal RNA (556 nucleotides) under Exobasidium pachysporum. RNAcentral describes it as "LSU rRNA". It matches the Rfam family "Eukaryotic large subunit ribosomal RNA", at positions 86 to 631 of the family's 3401-position model. The record is from RNAcentral. Lineage: Eukaryota; Fungi; Basidiomycota; Exobasidiomycetes; Exobasidiales; Exobasidiaceae.